RNAcentral lists this ribosomal RNA (465 nucleotides) under uncultured bacterium. RNAcentral's name for it is "partial 16S ribosomal RNA". It matches the Rfam family "Bacterial small subunit ribosomal RNA", at positions 338 to 795 of the family's 1533-position model. The record is from RNAcentral.
CCUACGGGAGGCAGCAGUGGGGAAUAUUGCGCAAUGGGCGAAAGCCUGACGCAGCGACGCCGCGUGAGGGAUGAAGGUCUUCGGAUCGUAAACCGCUGUCGGCAGGGAAGAACGGUCACUGUGCUAAUCAGCAGUGAAUUGACGGUACCUGCAAAGGAAGCCCCGGCUAACUCCGUGCCAGCAGCCGCGGUAAUACGGAGGGAGCGAGCGUUAAUCGGAUUUACUGGGCGUAAAGGGUUCGUAGGCGGUAUGGCAAGUCAAGGGUGAAAUCCCCGCGCUUAACGUGGGAACUGCCUCUGAAACUGGCAAACUGGAGUGUGUGAGAGGAUAGUGGAAUUCCAGGUGUAGGAGUGAAAUGCGUAGAUAUCUGGAGGAACAUCAGUGGCGAAGGCGACUAUCUGGAAAAUAACUGACGUUGAGGAGCGAAAGCGUGGGUAGCAAACAGGAUUAGAUACCCUUGUAGUC